GAUGAACGCUGGCGGCGUGCCUAAUACAUGCAAGUCGAGCGGACCAAAGAGAGCUUGCUCUCUGAGGUUAGCGGCGGACGGGUGAGUAACACGUGGGUAACCUGCCUGUAAGACGGGGAUAACUUCGGGAAACCGAAGCUAAUACCGGAUGAUAAAGAGAAACGCCUGUUUCUUUUUUGAAAGUCGGCCUUGUGCUGACGCUUACAGAUGGGCCCGCGGCGCAUUAGCUAGUUGGUGAGGCAACGGCUCACCAAGGCGAGGAUGCGUAGCCGACCUGGGAGGGUGAUCGGCCACACUGGGACUGAGACACGGCCCAGACUCCUACGGGAGGCAGCAGUAGGGAAUCUUCGGCAAUGGACGAAAGUCUGACCGAGCAACGCCGCGUGAGCGAUGAAGGCCUUCGGGUCGUAAAGCUCUGUUGUCAGAGAAGAACAAGUACCGGAGUAACUGCCGGUACCUUGACGGUACCUGACCAGAAAGCCACGGCUAACUACGUGCCAGCCGCCGCAGUAA
This 513-nucleotide ribosomal RNA is filed under the name uncultured bacterium. RNAcentral describes it as "partial 16S ribosomal RNA". It matches the Rfam family "Bacterial small subunit ribosomal RNA", at positions 28 to 523 of the family's 1533-position model. The record is from RNAcentral.